UAUUUGCAUGCAGCCAUCUCUAGAAAGUCAAAUGGUAUCUCUUCAACUGGAAUGACAAGAGAUGAAAGAAAUGUGCAACCAUGAGGAUAUUGUAACCUACGAAUGAUGUGCUGAGACCGGAAACCCAAAAUGAUGGGUUUCACCAUAUUGCACAGGAUGGUUUCGAACUUCUGAACCCAAGCAAUCCACCCUCCUUGGCAUCCCAAAGUGUUGGGAUUACAGAGGUGAGCCACCUCACCCAGCAUGUAUACUUUGGAUAACAGUUCUUUACCAGAUGUGUGUUUUGCAAAUAUAUUCUCCCAGUUUGUGGCUUGUAUUUUUAUUCUAUUGACAUUGUCUUUAACAGAACAGACAUUUUUAAUUUUAAAGAAGUCCAUCUUAUAAAUUAUUUUCUUCAUGAAUUAUGCCUUGAUGUAGUAUCCAAAAAGUCACCACCUACCCAAGAUCAACUAGGUUUUCUCUUAUGUUAAUUUCUAAGAGUUUUAUAGUUUUGCAUUGUACACUUAGGUCUGUGAUUCAUUUGUAGUUAAUACUUAUGAAGGGCAUGAGAUCUGUGUCUGGAUCUAUCUUUUUGCAUGUGGAUAUCCAGUUCUUCCAGCACCAUUUGUUGAAAAUACUAUCUUUUCUUCAUUAUAUUGCCUUUACUCUGUUGCCAAAGAUGAGUUGACUAUAUUUAUGUGGGUCUGUUUGGGGCUCUUUAUUUUGUUUUGAUUGGUCUACUUGUCCAUUCUUUCACCAAUAUGAUGCAAUUUUGAUUGCUGUAGCUUUACAGUAAAUCUCAAAGUCAGGUAAUGACGGUCCUCUAACUUUGUUUUUUUCUUUAAUAUUGUGUUGGCUAUUCUGGGUCUUUUGCCUCUCCAUAUAAAGUUUAGAAUCAGUUUGUCUAUAAUCACAAUAUAACUUGCUGAGAUUCUGAUUGGGAUUCCAUUGAGUCUGUAGAUCAAUUUGGGAAGAAAUGACAUCUUGACAAUAUUGAGUCUUCUUAUCCAUGAACAUGUGUUAUCUCUUUAUUUAUUUAGUUCUUCUCUGACAUCUUUCAUCAGAGUUUUGUAGUUUCCCUCAUAUAGGUCUUAUACAUAUUUUCUAUUAGGUUUAUACCUACGUAUCUCAUUUUUUGUAUGCUGAAUGGUAUUGUGUUUUUAAUUUUAAAUUCCACUUGUUUAUUGCUAUUGUACAGAAAAGCAAUUGACUUUUGUAUAUUAACCUUGUAGCCUGCACCCUUACUAUAGUUCCUUGUUAGUUCCAGGAGAUUUUUAAAAAUUAUUUUUAUUUUAGAUUUUCUGCAUAGAUAAUCAUGUUAUUUGCAAAUAAAGAUAGUCUUGUUUCUUUCUGCCCAAUCUGUACA
This 1345-nucleotide long non-coding RNA is filed under the name Homo sapiens (human). Its description in RNAcentral is "HSALNT0160597". The record is from RNAcentral. Lineage: Eukaryota; Metazoa; Chordata; Mammalia; Primates; Hominidae.